RNAcentral lists this ribosomal RNA (148 nucleotides) under Striatella unipunctata. RNAcentral describes it as "partial Bacterial small subunit ribosomal RNA". It matches the Rfam family "Bacterial small subunit ribosomal RNA", at positions 1376 to 1532 of the family's 1533-position model. The record is from RNAcentral. Lineage: Eukaryota; Bacillariophyta; Striatellaphyceae; Striatellales; Striatellaceae.
GGGCCUUGUACACACCGCCCGUCAAGCCAUGGAAGCUGGGGGCGCCUGAAGUCGGUCACCGUAAGGAGCUGCCUAGGGCGAAACUAGUAACUGGGGCUAAGUCGUAACAAGGUAGCCGUACCGGAAGGUGUGGCUGGAUUACCUCCUU